UCGAUUUUAUAUUUGGCUAAAUCAAAAAUAUAUAUUGGCCUACUAGUUAUUUUUCUUCAGAUUUCCCAACUUUGCAUUGUGCUGACAUGUUCAAACCGCCAUUGAAGUUUAGUCUAGACAGUCUCUUUUGUUAUGUGCUGUGGUCCGUCAUCAAAUGCACCAGUGCGUUUAUAGAAAAACAAAACAACUAUACCGCACUGAGAAAAUAUAAUUCUCGUCAACAAAGAGAGGUAUGCAGCUUCGGGACAGAGGAGGCGGGUACGUGUGAUCUCGUGACUUCAGGGGAAAGCUCGAACUCAUUGUGGGGCGCAGAUGAAAAAUGGAAGAGUUACCACUGCUGGCCACAUUGGCAAACGAGAGAAAUCCACUUUCAAACUUGCAGCAGAUGUCGAGGGAAAUAGCCUUCCGUUCGAAAUCAAAUUUACUUCAUGGUCACUGUUAUUUCACAUUUUCAGAUCCGCUCGAGCAUGAUGGAGUCAAUAAUGUGAAGCAAUAAUAGGCUGACAAGGAUCAAUCUUGGCAGCCUGGCGAAUACGCUGUCUGCGUCUCAAUACACAACCCCAAUCAACAUUUGGGCGUUGAGGGCCUGAAGAGACAAGUCUUCAGGGGGAGACGUCUCACUCGCCAAGAAACCGCCCAAGACUUCAGACCUACCUUAAGACCGGCUCGUGCAAUGAAGGCUGGGACCGUGCAAGUGUGUGUGAUGCUGAAACAGCUCAACGAGCUCCCGCCUCAGGAGUCCCAUUUCUGAGGGCCGCUGGCCUGCCGGCCGGAGCGUGUGAAAGCAGAUAACCAGGGCAAAUUUCAUGACUCACACACUUCCUGCUCUGUGAAGUUGCAUUAAAAGCUGUGGGGGGAAAAAGCGCAACCCUGAUGUUCUAGCUCCAAAUCGAUUGUUACACAUUAAGCAUGUUGGCUUCACCCCGGAGCGUGUUCAAAGAGUUGGUACCAUGGCCAUAAUGUGCCCGGAAUAGGAAAAUAACAUGACGCGGGCGGAGAGAUCGCUUCGGCCGAUGAAUACACCGUCUUGCGUUUUCCAACAGUCCUGAUACUGGCCACGUGGGGUUGAGGUGUAUUCAGUUUUGUAUUGUAUUCAGAGAUGUAACUUACUUGGUAAUCACCUAUAUCAAUGAAAGUUCACUAAAUAGUGUUUUGCGUGAUAUUCAUGGGGCCCUAGGUGUGAGGUUUCUCUGAAUAUAUGGCUGUUUUGGGGGUUCAGUUUUGCCUUUUACAUUCCAAUAAAUAUGAAAGCAUUUCGGCUCUGCCUCGGCUCGAACACAUACAGACCCCUACUCUUCUUGUCUCAGACUGCUUCCAAUCGCACCAGGGUCCCUGUAUACCUGAACAGUAACUUCGGGAAGAAAUGCCAGAAUGGACAGUGAAAACAGCAGGAGGUGUAGUGCUGUACAGCUUCUGCCUGGCAGCAGCUAACGGGGAGCCAAAGAAACAAACAGUUAUUACGAACGGCUAUUAAUUAUCCUUUAUUCUAUGUGCAUAACACUUGUGCAUAACACUGCAAAUGUCCUCUUCAUAAAGGCAUUACUAACACAUUUAUUGCCAUAUGAGCAAUCCACUAAAGCACAAAAGCUGUUGUCCCUCUAUAAAAAGCUUGACUAAGCAUAUUAAGAACACAGACCCAUAUUUUAGCAACAAGGAACCAGGGGGGUUUGUGGUCGGACAAUAUACAACAGCUAAUCCGGACCUUAGGCACAACACAACAUGGAGUGCCUGCUGGAUACAGCCAAUAGCCAUAGUACAUUAGUCAUACACCACAAACCCCAGAAAGAUACCCAUUUGCUAUUAUAAACCGGUUGCCAAUAAGAACAUUACAAAUUAUUGUUCUUUUUUUUUUGUAUUACCCUUGCAGUACCGUCUCAUAUACCAUGGCUUUCAUCCAAUGAGCAUUCUGGGUUCAAACCAUUCAGCAAUUAUAAUCCAAUGAGAACUCCACCUACAAUGCCUAGCUAUGUCUUCCUCUUCAUGUCCACUCAUGUUAACCUGACAAAGUUUCCCCCUCCAACUGAAUCAUCGUGUUCAGGCACUUUUAGUUUACACUGUCUGUCUAGCAUAUGCCCAAAUGGCAUCACUUGCGCCGCUGUGUUUUGCUUUCUGCUGUCACCUACUCUAACAAUAUAAUUGGCCAUUACCUCUGACCCCUUUUGUCAGCCAC
Molecule: long non-coding RNA, 2170 nt
Organism: Esox lucius (northern pike)
Lineage: Eukaryota; Metazoa; Chordata; Actinopteri; Esociformes; Esocidae
Source: Ensembl